This 1023-nucleotide long non-coding RNA is filed under the name Cicer arietinum (chickpea). Its description in RNAcentral is "long non-coding RNA (CARI_LNC003311)". Lineage: Eukaryota; Viridiplantae; Streptophyta; Magnoliopsida; Fabales; Fabaceae. The record is from RNAcentral.
UAACCCCCUUUUUUUAAUAAAUAAAUAAAAAAUAUUUAAAUGGGCUAAGCUUGAACAGAUUUUAUUGUUUGAUAUUAGAACAUGGGCCCAACUUAACUUAGAAGAUAAAUUUUGAGUGAAGCCCAAACUUACCUUAAUAAAAGAGGGUUGAAAUAUGAAAACCCUAAUUUCAAACUUAAGGAAGGCGGUUGCAGUACUAAGGGAGGCGGUCACACAAAUCAGAAUGGCUAGGCAGCAAACAAGAUAAACGAACAAAGAAUGAAGACGACAAUGGUAGAGACAUAGGCGACAACGACGACGUCUAGGAUGACCUCGGGUGAUGACAGCGACAACACGGUGGCGACGGUGGCAACAAGGCAACGACGGUGAUGACGUAAUGACAUCGUCCAAGGUGUGAGUUUUUCUCGUUUUUUUAUUUUACUCUAAAAAAACAAAUCUUAUUUUUAUAUUAGCUUACAUUUAUAUAACAAUAGAACUGUGUAAAAGGAAGGAAAUACCUUCUCUUCUUCUGGCUUGUUUCCUUUUGCUACUGCCUUUGUUGUCUCCUUUUUUCUGCUUAAGUAUUUUUUCUAUUCGUGUUUGAUUUCUCUUCUCUGUGUGUUUUUUAUCAGUGGUGUCCAAAAAAUAGAUCCUCCCUUUUUGAAAUUGAUAAGGCGUUUUUAUAGAGUUUUUUAUAUGUUUAGUUGUUUUCUGGUAUGUCUUGGUCUUUCUCUAUCUAUUUCCCGUUUGAUGUUUUGAUUGCUUUGCUCAUCAUCUGCCUUUUUCUACAUCCCUGAUGCCUUCAUAGUUUUAGCUUAUUUGUUCUGAUUUGUUCAUUGCUGAGCUUUUAUUUGUCUUUUAUUUUAUUUUUUUUUAACUCAAAAAUUUGUCUCUUUGUUCUGCACAAAGUGUACCAAGAGUGACUUAAAAAAAAAGUUUUUUUUUUAUGUUUCUCUAAUUAGUUAAAACAGGAACAUAUGUAUCAAUAAGCAUGACUUGUGCAUCAAUGGCAGUCAUCAUCAACAUAGCAGGGUUUGGCAGUGA